AGUGAACGCUGGCGGUAGGCCUAACACAUGCCAGUCGAACGGCAGCACAGUAAGAGCUUGCUCUUACGGGUGGCGAGUGGCGGACGGGUGAGGAAUACAUCGGAAUCUACUUUUUCGUGGGGGAUAACGUAGGGAAACUUACGCUAAUACCGCAUACGACCUACGGGUGAAAGCAGAGGAUCUUCGGACCUUGCGCGAUUGAAUGAGCCGAUGUCGGAUUAGCUAGUUGGCGGGGUAAAGGCCCACCAAGGCGACGAUCCGUAGCUGGUCUGAGAGGAUGAUCAGCCACACUGGAACUGAGACACGGUCCAGACUCCUACGGGAGGCAGCAGUGGGGAAUAUUGGACAAUGGGCGCAAGCCUGAUCCAGCCAUACCGCGUGGGUGAAGAAGGCCUUCGGGUUGUAAAGCCCUUUUGUUGGGAAAGAAAAGCAGCAGGUUAAUACCCCGCUGUUCUGACGGUACCCAAAGAAUAAGCACCGGCUAACUUCGUG
RNAcentral lists this ribosomal RNA (492 nucleotides) under uncultured bacterium. Its description in RNAcentral is "partial 16S ribosomal RNA". It matches the Rfam family "Bacterial small subunit ribosomal RNA", at positions 29 to 507 of the family's 1533-position model. The record is from RNAcentral.